This 493-nucleotide ribosomal RNA is filed under the name uncultured bacterium. Its description in RNAcentral is "partial 16S ribosomal RNA". It matches the Rfam family "Bacterial small subunit ribosomal RNA", at positions 30 to 523 of the family's 1533-position model. The record is from RNAcentral.
AUUGAACGCUGGCGGCAUGCUUUACACAUGCAAGUCGAACGGUAACAGGUUAAGCUGACGAGUGGCGAACGGGUGAGUAAUGCAUCGGAACGUGCCCGGUCGUGGGGGAUAACGCAGCGAAAGCUGCGCUAAUACCGCAUACGAUCUGAGGAUGAAAGCGGGGGACCGUAAGGCAUCGCGCGAUCGGAGCGGCCGAUGUCAGAUUAGGUAGUUGGUGGGGUAAAGGCUCACCAAGCUAACGAUCUGUAGCUGGUCUGAGAGGAUGACCAGCCACACUGGGAUUGAGACACGGCCCAGACUGCUACGGGAGGCAGCAGUGGGGAAUUUUGGACAAUGGGCGAAAGCCUGAUCCAGCAAUGCCGCGUGCAGGAAGAAGGCCUUCGGGUUGUAAACUGCUUUUGUACGGAGCGAAAAGGUCUCCUCUAAUACAGGGGGCUCAUGACGGUACCGUAAGAAUAAGCACCGGCUAACUACGUGCCAGCCGCCGCGGUAA